AGUUCUAAAAUGAAAUAGAUGGUUAGAUUGAUCGAUCUACAGUCUACUAGUCUACACUGACUGUAACUGAACUGAGGUUGAGCCUGCAAAAAAGACGCAAAAUGGCAAGCAACAGUCAAUAGGGAAGAUUAUCCACAAAGGUUGCAGACAAAAUUCGUCGUGAUGAACGUGUGAGUGUUGUAGAACGGACAAAUUUGAGAUAUCUUCCGGGACUUCCACGGAAAGUUGACUUGGUGACAUUGGACCUUUCAUUCAUUUCUAUACUUUUGGUCAUGCCUGCUGGGGUCAAUGUAAUGAAGGAAGAAGCUACAUUGGUUGCUCUGAUUAAACCCCAAUUUGAGGCUCCCAGAUCUCAAGUAAGAAUUCAUGCAUUUUUUCAAUUUUAUUUUUUUUAGUGAAAUUGCCCUAGGUCUAGGCUGGUUUUCUGUUCUCUGCAAUUACUUAUAUCAAGCUGAAUCGGAUUAUAUUUAAAUAGGAUUACUCUUGAGUAGGGGUUGAGGUUUACCAUUUGAAAUGGCUUUGUCAAGAUCUAAUAAAAGGGAUCUUUCUUUUGUUCAAAGCCUUUGAUAAA
This is a non-coding RNA of Camellia sinensis, 571 nucleotides long. The record is from RefSeq and is a predicted model, not a curated record. NCBI's taxonomy places the organism in Eukaryota, Viridiplantae, Streptophyta, Magnoliopsida, Ericales, Theaceae.